GGAUGUGAGGGCACUCUGACUGGGACAUCUGACACCCCAUUGGUCAUCAUGGUUGAUUUGACUGCUCUGGUUGGCUCUCUCAUGGCUCCAGGUGCUCCCCCCCAAACUAACUACAUGCUUGGCCCUGCAUGGUGGGCAGCAGCCUCCCCAUGAGUAAAGGAAGAUGGGUCUUUGUUCAAGGACAUAUGAGUAGCUGCACUCCUCUGCUAGAACCUUCAAACAAGUUCCCAAAUAGUUAAACUUAUAUUCUUAUUUAAAAUACAUAUUUAAAAGCUAUAAAAUUGUAUUUAUU
This 292-nucleotide small nuclear RNA is filed under the name Mesocricetus auratus (golden hamster). RNAcentral's name for it is "7SK RNA". It matches the Rfam family "7SK RNA". Rfam says of the family: 7SK was discovered as an abundant small nuclear RNA in the mid-70s but a possible function has only recently been suggested. Two independent studies have found that 7SK RNA binds the CDK9/cyclin T complex (known as elongation factor P-TEFb). P-TEFb activates transcription by phosphorylating the C-terminal domain of RNA polymerase II. Lineage: Eukaryota; Metazoa; Chordata; Mammalia; Rodentia; Cricetidae. The record is from Rfam by way of RNAcentral.